RNAcentral lists this ribosomal RNA (523 nucleotides) under uncultured bacterium. Its description in RNAcentral is "bacterial SSU rRNA". It matches the Rfam family "Bacterial small subunit ribosomal RNA", at positions 791 to 1329 of the family's 1533-position model. The record is from RNAcentral.
UAGUCCACGCCGUAAACGAUGGAUGCUAGCUGUUUGGGGUAUCGACCCCCUGAGUAGCGAAGCUAACGCGUUAAGCAUCCCGCCUGGGGAGUACGGUCGCAAGAUUAAAACUCAAAGGAAUUGACGGGGACCCGCACAAGCGGUGGAGCGUGUUGUUUAAUUGGACGAUAAGCCAAGAACCUUACCCAGGUUUGACAUCCUCUGAAUUUCUGGGAAACCAGAGAGUGCUUUUAGAACAGAGUGACAGGUGCUGCAUGGCCGUCGCCAGCUCGUGUCGUGAGAUGUUGGGUUAAGUCCCGCAACGAGCGCAACCCUUAUAGUUAGUUGUAUUUUCUAGCUAGACUGCCUCGGUAACGGGGAGGAAGGAGGGGAUGAUGUCGGGUCCGUAUUGCCCUUACACCUGGGGCUACAAACACGCUACAAUGGCCGGUACAAUGGGCAGCCAAAUCGCAAGAUGGAGCAAAUCCCACCAAAGCCGGUCCCAGUUCGGAUAGCAGGCUGAAACUCGCCUGCUUGAAGUCGG